RNAcentral lists this ribosomal RNA (460 nucleotides) under uncultured bacterium. RNAcentral's name for it is "partial 16S ribosomal RNA". It matches the Rfam family "Bacterial small subunit ribosomal RNA", at positions 338 to 795 of the family's 1533-position model. The record is from RNAcentral.
CCUACGGUAGGCAGCAGUGAGGAAUAUUGGUCAAUGGACGAGAGUCUGAACCAGCCAAGCCGCGUGAAGGAUGACGGCCCUAUGGGUUGUAAACUUCUUUUAUAGGGGAAUAAAACGAGGCACGUGUGCCUUUGUGCAUGUACUUUAUGAAUAAGCAUCGGCUAACUCCGUGCCAGCAGCCGCGGUAAUACGGAGGAUCCGAGCGUUAUCCGGAUUUAUUGGGUUUAAAGGGAGCGUAGAUGGGUUGUUAAGUCAGUUGUGAAAGUUUGGGGCUCAACCGUAAAAUUGCAAUUGAUACUGGCAGUCUUGAGUACAGGUGAGGUAGGCGGAAUUCGUGGUGUAGCGGUGAAAUGCGUAGAUAUCACGAAGAACCCCGAGUGCGAAGGCAGCUUACUAGACUGUGACUGACAGUGAUGCACGAAAGUGUGGGUAUCAAACAGGAUUAGAUACCCGGGUAGUC